This 142-nucleotide non-coding RNA is filed under the name unclassified sequences. The record is from RNAcentral.
GUACUGAAUAAGUGAGUGGGGAAUAAUGUGAAAAUCAUUAACUGUUCCUGCAACGGUAAGGAAAAAAUCUAAGUCCGAGCGCCACCCAGUAUAGUCCGCUGUCGAAUGAAGGCCAGGAAAAGUCUAAUUCUACAAUUUAAAA